This 324-nucleotide unclassified non-coding RNA is filed under the name uncultured fungus. Its description in RNAcentral is "partial internal transcribed spacer 1". Lineage: Eukaryota; Fungi. The record is from RNAcentral.
ACAUUAUUCACUGUCAGGUCGUCAAUAUUGGAAACCUUGCGAGUAUCCCAUUCAGAUCCGUUAUCCAGCGCAAUAUUAAAGAUACCGCUCUGAUAAACCUCUGCGCCAGCAAGGUGCUGAUCAUCAGAAUAGUAAGUUGAAGACGGCCAAAUGCUGUUUGGUACUAAAGCAUGCCAAUCAGCAUCGGUAUAUCCCCAACCGUACAUCUGAGCAGUGCCGAUUGCCUCAACAUCAGAUUGAGCCGCGCCAACCCAUUUCGAGCCAUUGGUCAGCGUCACGGUUAAAGAAUCAGUAUCAUCCCAACCAUUCGUUGUUGGAUUAUAG